UUCCUUUUUUAGCAUAAACUUCAAAUAUCCCUUUAAUGAUUUUGCGCUUUCCCACUUUAUUACUCUGUGGUUAAAAUGUAUUACUUUAGUAUCAUGUAAUUUUGUUUUCUCUUUUCGUCAAUUUUUUCAUUAAUUUUUUCAGUGCUAAAGAUAAAACCAUAGAAUACUAAUAAUGCAAAUAUUGAUAAACCAUAGGUUUAUGGUAGUAAAGUAUUACACUUUAAAAUAUAGAGUACUACAGUGAAAAGGUGUGUUU
RNAcentral lists this long non-coding RNA (256 nucleotides) under Ananas comosus (pineapple). RNAcentral's name for it is "long non-coding RNA (ACOM_LNC018520)". Lineage: Eukaryota; Viridiplantae; Streptophyta; Magnoliopsida; Poales; Bromeliaceae. The record is from RNAcentral.